GGAGGCGAGAAUAUAGCGGGAACUAGUCGGGGUAUGGAUUGAAGGUUCUAGAAAGUCGUUUCAGUAGUCCUCACCAUUUUUAUAAAAUAAUGUAUCAAUAAAUGUAAUGAGGACUUAUUUGGGCGUGAAUAUUUUCUAGAUGAUAAUAUUUGUAUUUAAACUCACAGUUUAUGUGUUGUACUAAUAAAGUUGUAGUUGUUUCUGUACCAUGUUAUUGACAACUCAAAAUGGGUGAUAUAUACCUAUUUUGGGGGCGUCACACUGAUGCUGACGUCUUUCUAUCAUUGUUGAAUCUCUUCUUCAUGAAAUGUCCAUUCUUAUUGUUUUGGCC
This 331-nucleotide long non-coding RNA is filed under the name Panax ginseng (ginseng). RNAcentral's name for it is "long non-coding RNA (PGIN_LNC005814)". Lineage: Eukaryota; Viridiplantae; Streptophyta; Magnoliopsida; Apiales; Araliaceae. The record is from RNAcentral.